UUUGAUACAAUGCAUCUGAGGCUG
Molecule: non-coding RNA, 24 nt
Filed under: Cricetulus griseus (Chinese hamster)
Lineage: Eukaryota; Metazoa; Chordata; Mammalia; Rodentia; Cricetidae
Source: RNAcentral